GGGGUGUGUUCCAGAAAGCGAGUUAUGUGACAUACCCAGGUAAUAUUUGAUGCAACCCAUCUCAUCACUAAUGUUGAACCCAAAUCAUCAGGGUCAGUGCAUGAUUCCAGAAUCUUCAGGGAAUCAUCACUAUGUCACAUGUUUCAACAGGGAUGCUACAAUGGCUUCUUGCUGGGGGACAAAGGGUGCCCUGUUUGAUGACACCCUUCUUCUGAGCCUGGACCACAGACAUUGUUCAACCGGGCCCACAGCAGAACACGGACCAAGGUGGAGAUGACCACAGGCAUCCUGAAGGCGAUGUUCCAGUGUCUACGUGGCCUCAGGGUCAGUCCAGAGAGGGCAUGUGACAUUAUAGUGGAUUGUGUUGUCCUUGCAAUAUUGCCACAAUAAGGGGAGUGAGCCACCCUCCUUGUCCUGCUGAAGAUGACCAAGAGGAUCCAGUAGUGAACAAAGUAGACCACAGAGAAGACUCUUAAGACACAUGAUUUGUCAGAAUCACUUUUAUUAAGGUUUUUGAACCAAAGCGCUUAUCAUUUCUUCAUGUCCUGAAAAAUAAAAUGGAAUAUUAUUUACAUUGCUUCACACAAUGUCUCAGACUGUGUGCUUUCUGGAGGGUCCAAUAAUACAAUCUGUCCAUCAGUAAACGCAAGACAAUGCAACCCAUAAGAUCAAAGUGAAAUAAAGUCAAUGUACUACAACAUUGUAGAAGCCUGUGCAAGAUAUAGAUCCUGUAAUUGUGUGAUCACAUCUUACCUUUUUUUGUAGGAUAAUAUUACUAUUAUCUAAUAUUAUUCAAGUAAUAGUACAAAACAAUGUGGAAGUUAUGUUCAAUCUUCCUUUACAACAAAAGAGGCAAUGGCAACAUAACUGUAAUUAAAUAAACUCAAUUUACUUUAUUUUCUUUUUCUUUCCUUUGCCGAUGCAGCUGUGUUGCUUUUUCUAUUAAUAAUCGGCUUAAAUUCUUCAUUCUCUGCAUCAAAAUCUCC
This is a long non-coding RNA of Betta splendens (Siamese fighting fish), 986 nucleotides long. RefSeq lists it as uncharacterized. The transcript has 3 exons. The record is from RefSeq and is a predicted model, not a curated record. Lineage: Eukaryota; Metazoa; Chordata; Actinopteri; Anabantiformes; Osphronemidae.